RNAcentral lists this ribosomal RNA (585 nucleotides) under uncultured bacterium. Its description in RNAcentral is "bacterial SSU rRNA". It matches the Rfam family "Bacterial small subunit ribosomal RNA", at positions 338 to 916 of the family's 1533-position model. The record is from RNAcentral.
CCUACGGGAGGCAGCAGUGGGGAAUUUUGGACAAUGGGCGCAAGCCUGAUCCAGCAAUGCCGCGUGAGUGAAGAAGGCCUUCGGGUUGUAAAGCUCUUUUGUCAGGGAAGAAACGGUGGAGGUUAAUACCUUCUGCUAAUGACGGUACCUGAAGAAUAAGCACCGGCUAACUACGUGCCAGCAGCCGCGGUAAUACGUAGGGUGCAAGCGUUAAUCGGAAUUACUGGGCGUAAAGCGUGCGCAGGCGGUUGUGCAAGACAGAUGUGAAAUCCCCGGGCUCAACCUGGGAAUUGCAUUUGUGACUGUACGGCUAGAGUGUGUCAGAGGGGGGUAGAAUUCCACGUGUAGCAGUGAAAUGCGUAGAGAUGUGGAGGAAUACCGAUGGCGAAGGCAGCCCCCUGGGAUAACACUGACGCUCAUGCACGAAAGCGUGGGGAGCAAACAGGAUUAGAUACCCUGGUAGUCCACGCCCUAAACGAUGUCUACUAGUUGUCGGGUCUUUAUUGACUUGGUAACGCAGCUAACGCGUGAAGUAGACCGCCUGGGGAAGUCGGUCGCAAGAUUAAAACUCAAAGGAAUUGACGG